GUCCCUUCGGAGACAUCAGAUAAAACUAGAACAAUAUAAAGAAGAUUACCAUAACCCUUGCGUAAGGAUGACAUACAUGAAUUGAGAAGUUGUCCAAAUAAAA
This is a non-coding RNA of Helianthus annuus (common sunflower), 103 nucleotides long. The record is from Rfam. Lineage: Eukaryota; Viridiplantae; Streptophyta; Magnoliopsida; Asterales; Asteraceae.